AUAUUGGACAAUGGGCGCAAGCCUGAUCCAGCCACGCCGCGUGGGUGAUGAAGGCCUUCGGGUCGUAAAGCCCUGUCGAGGGGGAAGAAUCGGUUGCGACCUAACACGUCGUGAUCCUGACGGUACCCCUAAAGGAAGCACCGGCUAACUACGUGCCAGCAGCCGCGGUAAUACGUAGGUGGCAAGCGUUGUCCGGAUUUAUUGGGUUUAAAGGGUGCGUAGGCGGUCUUGUAAGUCAGUGCUGAAAUAUCCCGGCUUAACCGGGAGGGUGGCAUUGAUACUGCAGGACUUGAGUGAAGUCGAGGUAGGCGGAAUUGACGGUGUAGCGGUGAAAUGCUUAGAUAUCGUCAAGAACACCAAUAGUGUAGACAGCUUACUAGGCUUUAACUGACGCUGAGGCACGAAAGUGUGGGGAUCAAAC
RNAcentral lists this ribosomal RNA (421 nucleotides) under uncultured bacterium. RNAcentral describes it as "bacterial SSU rRNA". It matches the Rfam family "Bacterial small subunit ribosomal RNA", at positions 361 to 773 of the family's 1533-position model. The record is from RNAcentral.